GAUGAACGCUAGCGGCAGGCUUAAUACAUGCAAGUUGAGGGGCAGCAUGAUAUACGCGAGUAUAUUGAUGGCGACCGGCGGACGGGUGAGUAAUAGGUAGGAGACCUACCUCAUACAGGGGGAUAGCAUAGAGAAAUCUGUGGUAAUACCCCAUGAGGUUAUAUGAAUAGAGGCAUAUAAUCAAAGCAUAAGUGAUUAUGCGGUAUGAGAGGGGCCUACUGACCAUUAGCUAGUUGGUGAGGUAAGGGCUCACCAAGGCGAAGAUGGUUAGGGGUUUUGAGAGAGAGACCCCCCACAUUGGAACUGAGAGACGGUCCAGACUCCUACGGGAGGCAGCAGUAGGGAAUAUUGGGCAAUGGGCGAAAGCCUGACCCAGCCAUGCCGCGUGAAGGAAGACGGCCUUAUGGGUUGUAAACUUCUUUACUACGCGAAUAGAGGUUAGUACGAGAUACUAAUAGGAAGGUAGUGUAGUAAAAAGCAACCGGCUAACUCCGU
This 495-nucleotide ribosomal RNA is filed under the name uncultured bacterium. RNAcentral's name for it is "bacterial SSU rRNA". It matches the Rfam family "Bacterial small subunit ribosomal RNA", at positions 28 to 506 of the family's 1533-position model. The record is from RNAcentral.